GAUGAACGCUGGCGGCGUGCUUAACACAUGCAAGUCGAACGGAAAGGCCCAAGCUUGCUUGGGUACUCGAGUGGCGAACGGGUGAGUAACACGUGGGUGAUCUGCCCUGCACUUCGGGAUAAGCCUGGGAAACUGGGUCUAAUACCGGAUAGGACCACUUCUUGGAUGUUGUGGUGGAAAGUUUUUUCGGUGUGGGAUGAGCUCGCGGCCUAUCAGCUUGUUGGUGGGGUAAUGGCCUACCAAGGCGUCGACGGGUAGCCGGCCUGAGAGGGUGUACGGCCACACUGGGACUGAGAUACGGCCCAGACUCCUACGGGAGGCAGCAGUGGGGAAUAUUGCACAAUGGGCGCAAGCCUGAUGCAGCGACGCCGCGUGGGGGAUGACGGCCUUCGGGUUGUAAACUCCUUUCGCUAGGGACGAAGCGUUUUGUGACGGUACCUGGAGAAGAAGCACCGGCUAACUACGUG
RNAcentral lists this ribosomal RNA (467 nucleotides) under uncultured bacterium. RNAcentral describes it as "partial 16S ribosomal RNA". It matches the Rfam family "Bacterial small subunit ribosomal RNA", at positions 28 to 507 of the family's 1533-position model. The record is from RNAcentral.